This 480-nucleotide ribosomal RNA is filed under the name Triticum aestivum (bread wheat). RNAcentral's name for it is "partial small subunit ribosomal RNA". Lineage: Eukaryota; Viridiplantae; Streptophyta; Magnoliopsida; Poales; Poaceae. The record is from RNAcentral.
AUGCAGGAGCGCAGAGCAAAAAUCUUGGAUGACUCUAGUACAUUGGCUAAAGGAGUUGAUGGGGAUUUCAUUGCACCUGAUAGCUUGCUGCAGGAGGUUGUCAAUCUUGUGGAGGCGCCUGUGCCCAUUCUUGGACGAUAUGAUGAUUCCUUCCUAGAACUUCCGAAAGAUGUGUUAACAACGGUUAUGCAGAAACACCAGAGGUAUUUUCCUGUAACCUCCAAGUCUACAGGCGAUCUGCUACCAUAUUUUAUUACCGUUGCUAAUGGUUCUAUUAGUGAAGAAGUGGUCCGUAAAGGCAAUGAAGCUGUACUCAGGGCAAGGUAUGAGGAUGCCAAGUUCUUUUAUAAGAUGGAUACACAAAAGAAUUUGUCUGAAUUCCGAGGCCUGCUGAAGAGCAUUCUCUUUCAUGUGAGUUGUGCUGAAUUUUCCUUGGAUUCUUGUGUUCUGCUUAUUCUUAUUUUAUCUGCACCACAUUGA